AUUGAAACACUACUUCCCAUACAAUCAUUAAAGUUAAGCAAGGCUGACCCUGAUCAGUACCUAGCUGGGUGGCCACUUGGGAAUAACUGGUGCUGUAAG
Acanthosepion pharaonis is the source of this 99-nucleotide non-coding RNA. The record is from the annotation of a GenBank genome assembly. Lineage: Eukaryota; Metazoa; Mollusca; Cephalopoda; Sepiida; Sepiidae.